Molecule: long non-coding RNA, 2271 nt
Organism: Canis lupus familiaris (dog)
Lineage: Eukaryota; Metazoa; Chordata; Mammalia; Carnivora; Canidae
Exons: 3
Source: RefSeq, a predicted model, not a curated record
UAUUGGCAUAAUGGACAUUAGGGUCUUAACACAGCGGCUGUUGGGUAGUAAGUACUCAGUGAAGGUUAACUAGUAGUAGUGAUGGUGGUAGUAGGAAUAGUAGUAGUUGUAGUACCACCACAGCUUCUGUGUGCCAGAUGCAGUGUUGCUUAAAAGUUGACUGACACACUCUGCCCUUGAAGAACUCAUAAAUCGUUCAAGUGUACAGGGAAUGAAUGUCACGUUCAGAACUGGGUGGCUAAAAUCAUACACAUGACCUCCAACAAAUUAUAAACUUUAUUGCCCAUACAAAGAUGUGCCCGAAAAGCAGUGGGAAAGCCACCCUUCCAAGUGAAUCUGGCCUGGACUAAGUCCUGUCUCCUUGCCCAUCUACCCCAAAGAAUGCCAGCCACUUAAAUUCAGUCAUAAACCUCUUAUUUUCUCACUAAUUGUUUUCCUGUCUGUAACUUCCUCAACAGCAGAGAGUCAGUGGUUGACUUGAAUAUUAAGGAGAACUACAUGGUGGUCGUAGUUCAUACGACUCCAAAAGUAUCGUGGUAGCUUCUGAGUCCUAACAUUCCUGAAUGAGAAUGAGUUGUUGGGUCAGGCCACCCCCAGUGUUUUCCCAAAGCAUGUCAUGGAUGGGGGUCAGACUGACAAAAUUCCCAGACGCUCUUUGGAAGAGAUGGGGGUCCUAGAAACUCCAAAGGCUGGCGACUUCUUCCAGCAGGCAAGGUGGGCCAAGAAAGUACUUCAGAGCCCUAUUAGGACUGAGGUGGGAUUUUCAUUAGGCUUCUUUGAGAGGGCGCUGACAAAGAAUGAGAAGUGAAGGGGGGCGAAACAGGAAGCAGUUUUAAAAUAAAGUGCAGUUCCUUGCUUUAACCAGUUUGACAACCUGCUUGUGUGUGUAGCACAGGGGCAUGUGGGGCGUGGCUUUCAAAUCAGUGAGCUCAAGUUUACUACAACUUCUGUGUGCACAGGGGCCAUUGAUGAAGCAUUGAGAGGAAUUGUAAGGAAUGGCCCAAAUGCUUCAGAAAGUUAUAACCUUGAUCAAAGCUGCACUCAGAAUGUGUACCCUUCCACGUCAACGCAGGACCAACCACCGCACUUCCCCCUUCCAUGACCCCAGUGUGGUGAGGGAUGCUGGACAGCGCCGGCUGGAAUUCUGGUCCUGCCCCUUGUUGGGUGAAAGUUGCAGCAGACCUGACCCAGGUCUCACUCCAACCGAAGUCUGCAGCGCAGAAGAGCAGAUCCACUUGUCACCCAGGAUGACAGAGGGAGAAGAGUUUGUCUGCCUGGGCAGCCAUAACCAAGUCCCAGGGACAUUUAGUUCUCACAGUUCUGGAGGCUGGAAGUCCAGAUCAAGGUUUGACAUGGCCCUAGUCUUGGCUUCUGAAACACGAAUCUCCAGGGAUACCCAAAAGACCACGGGUAUACAAGACUUACAUUCUUUUCCAAACAUCUACAAAAUAUUUUUGAAAUUAAGGUCAGACUUUCUGUCGGCAUAAACCCAUGUUACGCAUUCUGAACCUAACACGGAGCUUCAAAGGGAAUUCACAGGAAUGUUCUGUGUUUCUGAGCAUGUGUUUACUUAAAGGCUCCCAAGUUUUAAGAAAGGCAGACGUGACUGAACCAGCUGUAAAACUGCAGAAUCACAGGGGGAAACUUUUAAUGCAACCUUGGUAGAGAGUACAGGCUGCAAGGACAGCUGAGAACAUUAAAAACAAGGAAGGAUACUUGCAGGGGGAGGGGCAGCACCAGGCCUGUCAAACAGGAGCUGGAUGGGGAGAGUCCACGAGGAGCAGUGCGGGACCCCAUCCUCGCUCUGCACCCACACCCAACAAGCCUUGCAUCUUUAGAAGGAAAAAGUUCCUAGCGUCUUAGCCAGCUCAAAGUCCAAGUCGCGGGGACUGACUUUUGACAGUCACUGCUUCCAGUUCCCAAAGCUUCUAUUUGCUCUCUGAUGACUUUUGCUCCCGUGGUGGUGUUCUCGGGACAUUCAGUAUUAUAAUUAGGAAAUGUACUUUGGGAGAAUGAGAUUAGUGGCAUUUAUGGCAAGGCAGGUCAAAAAAUAAACGCAUUGUGUACAUUACUGGUGGCAUAAUAAAACGGCACAGGCACUCUGGAAAACAUGUUGGCGGUUUCUCAUGAAACUAAACAUGGCUGGGGCGGCUGGGUGGCUCAGUCGGUUAAGCAUCUGCCUUGGGCUCAGGUCAUGAUGCCAGAGUCCUGGGAUCGAGCCCCAUCAGGCUCCCUGUUCAGUGGGCAGCCUGCUUCUCCCUCUGCCUCUGC